ACUACAAAUAAAGAAACAGAUAAUAACUGAACAGUGUCUGGGCUGCAGGACAUAUUUUGACUUCUCUGUUGUUGCAAAGAUUUGGACUUCCAAACAACGGAAUUGAGUCUUGCACUCCUCAUAAAUGUUUUAGGCCUAUGUCUUAGCUUUCUAGC
Molecule: non-coding RNA, 155 nt
Organism: Populus trichocarpa (black cottonwood)
Lineage: Eukaryota; Viridiplantae; Streptophyta; Magnoliopsida; Malpighiales; Salicaceae
Source: Rfam